Molecule: ribosomal RNA, 496 nt
Filed under: uncultured bacterium
Lineage: Bacteria
Description: partial 16S ribosomal RNA
Rfam family: Bacterial small subunit ribosomal RNA
Source: RNAcentral
GAUGAACGCUGGCGGCGUGCCUAAUACAUGCAAGUCGAGCGAACGGACGAGAAGCUUGCUUUUCUGAUGUUAGCGGCGGACGGGUGAGUAACACGUGGAUAACCUACCUAUAAGACUGGGAUAACUUCGGGAAACCGGAGCUAAUACCGGAUAAUAUUUUGAACCGCAUGGUUCAAAAGUGAAGGACGGUCUUGCUGUCACUUAUAGAUGGAUCCGCGCUGCAUUAGCUAGUUGGUAAGGUAACGGCUUACCAAGGCAACGAUGCAUAGCCGACCUGAGAGGGUGAUCGGCCACACUGGAACUGAGACACGGUCCAGACUCCUACGGGAGGCAGCAGUAGGGAAUCUUCCGCAAUGGGCGAAAGCCUGACGGAGCAACGCCGCGUGAGUGAUGAAGGUCUUCGGAUCGUAAAACUCUGUUAUUAGGGAAGAACAUAUGUGUAAGUAACUGUGCACAUCUUGACGGUACCUAAUCAGAAAGCCACGGCUAACUACGU